This 1641-nucleotide ribosomal RNA is filed under the name Klebsiella pneumoniae. RNAcentral's name for it is "partial 23S ribosomal RNA". It matches the Rfam family "Bacterial large subunit ribosomal RNA", at positions 589 to 2215 of the family's 2925-position model. The record is from RNAcentral. Lineage: Bacteria; Pseudomonadati; Pseudomonadota; Gammaproteobacteria; Enterobacterales; Enterobacteriaceae.
GGGUGUGACUGCGUACCUUUUGUAUAAUGGGUCAGCGACUUAUAUUCUGUAGCAAGGUUAACCGUAUAGGGGAGCCGCAGGGAAACCGAGUCUUAACUGGGCGUUAAGUUGCAGGGUAUAGACCCGAAACCCGGUGAUCUAGCCAUGGGCAGGUUGAAGGUUGGGUAACACUAACUGGAGGACCGAACCGACUAAUGUUGAAAAAUUAGCGGAUGACUUGUGGCUGGGGGUGAAAGGCCAAUCAAACCGGGAGAUAGCUGGUUCUCCCCGAAAGCUAUUUAGGUAGCGCCUCGUGAAUUCAUCUUCGGGGGUAGAGCACUGUUUCGGCUAGGGGGUCAUCCCGACUUACCAACCCGAUGCAAACUACGAAUACCGAAGAAUGUUAUCACGGGAGACACACGGCGGGUGCUAACGUCCGUCGUGAAGAGGGAAACAACCCAGACCGCCAGCUAAGGUCCCAAAGUCAUGGUUAAGUGGGAAACGAUGUGGGAAGGCACAGACAGCCAGGAUGUUGGCUUAGAAGCAGCCAUCAUUUAAAGAAAGCGUAAUAGCUCACUGGUCGAGUCGGCCUGCGCGGAAGAUGUAACGGGGCUAAACCAUGCACCGAAGCUGCGGCAGCGACACUAUGUGUUGUUGGGUAGGGGAGCGUUCUGUAAGCCUGCGAAGGUGUGCUGUGAGGCAUGCUGGAGGUAUCAGAAGUGCGAAUGCUGACAUAAGUAACGAUAAAGCGGGUGAAAAGCCCGCUCGCCGGAAGACCAAGGGUUCCUGUCCAACGUUAAUCGGGGCAGGGUGAGUCGACCCCUAAGGCGAGGCCGAAAGGCGUAGUCGAUGGGAAACAGGUUAAUAUUCCUGUACUUGGUGUUACUGCGAAGGGGGGACGGAGAAGGCUAUGUUAGCCGGGCGACGGUUGUCCCGGUUUAAGCAUGUAGGCUGAUUGUCCAGGCAAAUCCGGAUAAUCAAGGCUGAGGUGUGAUGACGAGGCACUACGGUGCUGAAGUAACAAAUGCCCUGCUUCCAGGAAAAGCCUCUAAGCAUCAGGUAACAUUAAAUCGUACCCCAAACCGACACAGGUGGUCAGGUAGAGAAUACCAAGGCGCUUGAGAGAACUCGGGUGAAGGAACUAGGCAAAAUGGUGCCGUAACUUCGGGAGAAGGCACGCUGGUGUGUAGGUGAAGUCCCUGCGGAUGGAGCUGAGACCAGUCGAAGAUACCAGCUGGCUGCAACUGUUUAUUAAAAACACAGCACUGUGCAAACACGAAAGUGGACGUAUACGGUGUGACGCCUGCCCGGUGCCGGAAGGUUAAUUGAUGGGGUUAUCCGUAAGGAGAAGCUCUUGAUCGAAGCCCCGGUAAACGGCGGCCGUAACUAUAACGGUCCUAAGGUAGCGAAAUUCCUUGUCGGGUAAGUUCCGACCUGCACGAAUGGCGUAAUGAUGGCCAGGCUGUCUCCACCCGAGACUCAGUGAAAUUGAACUCGCUGUGAAGAUGCAGUGUACCCGCGGCAAGACGGAAAGACCCCGUGAACCUUUACUAUAGCUUGACACUGAACAUUGAGCCUUGAUGUGUAGGAUAGGUGGGAGGCUUUGAAGCGUGGACGCCAGUCUGCGUGGAGCCAACCUUGAAAUACCACCCUUUAAUGUUU